This 378-nucleotide unclassified non-coding RNA is filed under the name uncultured bacterium. Its description in RNAcentral is "contains 16S-23S intergenic spacer region". The record is from RNAcentral.
UCCGGUUUGGCACCGGCAGUCUCCCUAGAGUUCCCGGCAUGAUCCGCUGGCAACUAAGGACAGGGGUUGCGCUCGUUGCGCCACUUAAGGCAACACCUCACGACACGAGCUGACGACAGCCAUGCACCACCUGUGCACUGGCCCCGAAGGGCUGCCGUAUUUCUACGACAUUCCAGUGCAUGUCAAGCCCAGGUAAGGUUCUUCGCGUUGCGUCGAAUUGAACCACAUGCUCCACCGCUUGUGCGGGCCCCCGUCAAUUCCUUUGAGUUUCAACCUUGCGGCCGUACUCCCCAGGCGGAGUGCUUAAUGCGUUAGCUGCGGCAGUGAAAGCGUUGAAACUUCCACCACCUAGCACUCAUCGUUUACAGCUAGGACUAC